AAAUUGAAGAGUUUGAUCAUGGCUCAGAUUGAACGCUGGCGGCAGGCCUAACACAUGCAAGUCGAGCGGAAACGAGUUAUCAGAACCUUCGGGGAACGAUAACGGCGUCGAGCGGCGGACGGGUGAGUAAUGCCUAGGAAAUUGCCCUGAUGUGGGGGAUAACCAUUGGAAACGAAGGCUAAUACCGCAUGAUGCCGAAGGGCCAAAGAGGGG
Molecule: ribosomal RNA, 213 nt
Filed under: Vibrio parahaemolyticus
Lineage: Bacteria; Pseudomonadati; Pseudomonadota; Gammaproteobacteria; Vibrionales; Vibrionaceae
Description: partial 16S ribosomal RNA
Rfam family: Bacterial small subunit ribosomal RNA
Source: RNAcentral